Rhagoletis pomonella (apple maggot) is the source of this 427-nucleotide long non-coding RNA. RefSeq lists it as uncharacterized. NCBI's taxonomy places the organism in Eukaryota, Metazoa, Arthropoda, Insecta, Diptera, Tephritidae. The transcript has 2 exons. The record is from RefSeq and is a predicted model, not a curated record.
GAAAUUGAACAACCACAUCUGCCAUUUUGAAUGUGAGCUUGACAAUUCUGAGGACGAUGUCCCCAAAUGUGAAGAUUUUUCAUGGCAAGAUGUACCAUAUCAAGGGUUUAAUGAAAAUAAAGACGCACAACAAAUAUCCUCGGCGUGUUAUGUAGAUCAUAAGAAAAAAAAAGAUGAAGUGGGCGGAGUUUUUGCAAAUGCCAAUCUGCCGGAAGGGAGCGUCGUUUUGCUAGAAGAACCAAUUAGUAAAAAUGUUAAUGUACCAUUACUUCAUUGUGAACUGUGUUUGCGUAAAAUUGAUCAAGUUUAUACUUGCUUGAAUUGUCGCUAUAAAACGUAUUGCUCCUUCCAAUGUAUUAAAAGAGAUAUACAUAUUCAUCAGUACGAAUGCUCUGCAUAUAAAUGUCUUAUAUUAUAUAUACUAGAU